RNAcentral lists this ribosomal RNA (1016 nucleotides) under uncultured bacterium. RNAcentral's name for it is "bacterial SSU rRNA". It matches the Rfam family "Bacterial small subunit ribosomal RNA", at positions 355 to 1375 of the family's 1533-position model. The record is from RNAcentral.
UGAGGAAUAUUGGUCAAUGGGCGAGAGCCUGAACCAGCCAAGUAGCGUGAAGGAUGACCGCCCUAUGGGUUGUAAACUUCUUUUAUAUGGGAAUAAAGGGUGCCACGUGUGGCAUUUUGUAUGUACCAUAUGAAUAAGGAUCGGCUAACUCCGUGCCAGCAGCCGCGGUAAUACGGAGGAUCCGAGCGUUAUCCGGAUUUAUUAGGUUUAAAGGGAGCGUAGGUGGACAUGUAAGUCAGUUGUGAAAGUUUGCGGCUCAACCGUAAAAUUGCAGUUGAAACUGCGUGUCUUGAGUACAGUAGAGGUGGGCGGAAUUCGUGGUGUAGCGGUGAAAUGCUUAGAUAUCACGAAGAACUCCGAUUGCGAAGGCAGCUCACUGGACUGCAACUGACACUGAUGCUCGAAAGUGUGGGUAUCAAACAGGAUUAGAUACCCUGGUAGUCCACACAGUAAACGAUGAAUACUCGCUGUUUGCGAUAUACAGUAAGCGGCCAAGCGAAAGCAUUAAGUAUUCCACCUGGGGAGUACGCCGGCAACGGUGAAACUCAAAGGAAUUGACGGGGGCCCGCACAAGCGGAGGAACAUGUGGUUUAAUUCGAUGAUACGCGAGGAACCUUACCCGGGCUUAAAUUGCAAAUGAAUAUGCCGGAAACGGCAUAGCCGCAAGGCAUUUGUGAAGGUGCUGCAUGGUUGUCGUCAGCUCGUGCCGUGAGGUGUCGGCUUAAGUGCCAUAACGAGCGCAACCCUUAUCUUCAGUUACUAACAGGUCAUGCUGAGGACUCUGGAGAGACUGCCGUCGUAAGAUGUGAGGAAGGUGGGGAUGACGUCAAAUCAGCACGGCCCUUACGUCCGGGGCUACACACGUGUUACAAUGGGGGGUACAGAAGGCCGCUACCUGGUGACAGGAUGCCAAUCCCUAAAGCCGCUCUCAGUUCGGACUGGAGUCUGCAACCCGACUCCACGAAGCUGGAGUUGCUAGUAAUCGCGGAUCAGCAUGCCGCGGUGAAUACGUUCCC